CACCACUUUCAAUAUUGGUUCAUGUGUUCUUGGUUGAUGACCAGAAUAAUUUUCCUAUUCACAUUUUCCAUUGCCAAUCUCACCACCUAUGGCUUCUUAGAGAGUUUCUUCUCAAGCCUAGAGACUAUUCCAUCUUUCCUCUCAGCAAAAAAAAGAAAGAAAAAAAAAACUAUUUCUAUCUUUUCUUUUGUUAAAUUAUUUCUGGUAUGCAAGCUAUGAGGUAUUGGGGUAUGCUAUUUCCAUCUUUGCUCUCGUUUGUAUUGCUUUUGACUUCCAAUUGUUUGCUACUCCGUCAUGGUAGAAUCUAAAUUUGUUUUCAAGUAUUUUUAUUGUUACUAUUUAUAUUCAAGUAGUCUAAAUGUCUGGUUCGAUUAAAGUUGUCUCUUUUUGACAGUUGUUGCACUAGUGUUGCAUGGGUGCUUGGAGGCGAUGGUGCUUUUGUUAUAGCUCAUUAGGAUGGAAAUUUGUAUGUGUAUGAUAUGGCAAGCCUUGGACUUUCAUGAUUCAAUGUGUUGUAGAUAUUGAGAUAAGCAUGAUUUAAUGAAAUUUUGUUUUGUACAAAGUAAUAGAGGAGAACAUUCUGACAAGAGAGAACCAAGAUUGGAAGAGGAAGGAUAAAUUAUUGUUGCACGAGUUUGAAACUCGGAAAAAGAAGAUAAAGCAAGAGAGACAAAUGUUCACAUGGUUGAGGUCGGACUUGAAAAGCGAAGGGUUGUGUACACGAAUAUGGUUGUUUUUGUAUUGGGUUGUAUCUAUUGUAAUUUUUCUAGUUGGUUUGGAUCAAAUAUGUAAAUAGCUGGAAGCAUAGUGUCAAAAUCAAGUAUGUAAUUUCUCUGGUUGGUUUGGAUCAACAGACGGAAGCAUCAUGUCAAAAUCACUUUAACAUUUGUAUUGAAAAAGCCUUUGGUCUUGA
This is a long non-coding RNA of Juglans microcarpa x Juglans regia, 913 nucleotides long. RefSeq lists it as uncharacterized. Lineage: Eukaryota; Viridiplantae; Streptophyta; Magnoliopsida; Fagales; Juglandaceae. The record is from RefSeq and is a predicted model, not a curated record. The transcript is spliced from 2 exons.